This 417-nucleotide unclassified non-coding RNA is filed under the name uncultured Sebacinaceae. RNAcentral describes it as "sequence contains ITS2". The stretch from base 1 to 155 matches the Rfam family "5.8S ribosomal RNA". The record is from RNAcentral. Lineage: Eukaryota; Fungi; Basidiomycota; Agaricomycetes; Sebacinales; Sebacinaceae.
AACUUUCGACAAUGGAUCUCUUGGCUCUCGCAUCGAUGAAGAACGCAGCGAAAUGCGAUACGUAAUGCGAAUUGCAGAAUUCCAGUGAGUCAUCGAAUCUUUGAACGCACCUUGCACCCUUUGGCAUUCCGAAGGGUAUGCUCGUUUGAGUGUCAUUGUACUCUCACACUCUCAAUCUUUUGGAUCGGGAGCGGUGGACUUGGGUGUUGCUGCUUUACCGCGGCUCGCCUCAAAUGGAUUCGUGCAACUCUCGGUUGGACAUAGUACGGCGUGAUAAGUGUCUUCGCCGGCGCCCCAUUAGAGGGUGGCUGAUCGGGAGCUCUGUGCUUCAAACCGUCUUCGGACAACGACUGACAACUUGACCUCAAAUCGAGUAGGACCACCCGCUGAACUUAAGCAUAUCAAUAAGCGGAGGCU